AGUGGCGGACGGGUGAGUAACGCGUGGGUAACCUGCCUUAUACAGGGGGAUAACAGUCAGAAAUGACUGCUAAUACCGCAUAAGCGCACAGAGCUGCAUGGCUCGGUGUGAAAAACUCCGGUGGUAUAAGAUGGACCCGCGUUGGAUUAGCUAGUUGGUGAGGUAACGGCCCACCAAGGCGACGAUCCAUAGCCGGCCUGAGAGGGUGAACGGCCACAUUGGGACUGAGACACGGCCCAGACUCCUACGGGAGGCAGCAGUGGGGAAUAUUGCACAAUGGGGGAAACCCUGAUGCAGCGACGCCGCGUGAAGGAAGAAGUAUCUCGGUAUGUAAACUUCUAUCAGCAGGGAAGAAAAUGACGGUACCUGACUAAGAAGCCCCGGCUAACUACGUGCCAGCAGCCGCGGUAAUACGUAGGGGGCAAGCGUUAUCCGGAUUUACUGGGUGUAAAGGGAGCGUAGACGGAUGGACAAGUCUGAUGUGAAAGGCUGGGGCUCAACCCCGGGACUGCAUUGGAAACUGCCCGUCUUGAGUGCCGGAGAGGUAAGCGGAAUUCCUAGUGUAGCGGUGAAAUGCGUAGAUAUUAGGAGGAACACCAGUGGCGAAGGCGGCU
This 614-nucleotide ribosomal RNA is filed under the name uncultured Lachnospiraceae bacterium. RNAcentral describes it as "bacterial SSU rRNA". It matches the Rfam family "Bacterial small subunit ribosomal RNA", at positions 94 to 726 of the family's 1533-position model. Lineage: Bacteria; Bacillati; Bacillota; Clostridia; Lachnospirales; Lachnospiraceae. The record is from RNAcentral.